UAUGCACGCUGGCGGCGUGCCUAAUACAUGCAAGUCGAGCGAACGGACGAGAAGCUUGCUUCUCUGAUGUUAGCGGCGGACGGGUGAGUAACACGUGGAUAACCUACCUAUAAGACUGGGAUAACUUCGGGAAACCGGAACUAAUACCGGAUGAUAUUUUGAACCGCAUGGUUCAAAAGUGAAAGACGGUCUUGCUGUCACUUAUAGAUGGAUCCGCGCUGCAUUAGCUAGUUGGUAAGGUAACGGCUUACCAAGGCAACGAUGCAUAGCCGACCUGAGAGGGUGAUCGGCCACACUGGAACUGAGACACGGUCCAGACUCCUACGGGAGGCAGCAGUAGGGAAUCUUCCGCAAUGGGCGAAAGCCUGACGUAGCAACGCCGCGUGAGUGAUGAAGGUCUUCGGAUCGUAAAACUCUGUUAUUAGGGAAGAACAUAUGUGUAAGUAACUGUGCACAUCUUGACGGUACCUAAUCAGAAAGCCACGGCUAACUACGUG
Molecule: ribosomal RNA, 497 nt
Filed under: uncultured bacterium
Lineage: Bacteria
Description: partial 16S ribosomal RNA
Rfam family: Bacterial small subunit ribosomal RNA
Source: RNAcentral